GCAGGUGGAAGGCCUGAUUAUGGCUAAAUUGUGUUCACCUGUGAUUAGCUGACCAUAACGGCAACUCCAAGACCUCAGUUUUCAUGCUUGUUUUUGUACAACAAAAAUCUACGCAGAUACAUGGUAUGACCCAUGAACGGAAAUCUGGAAGGAAAAGCGUGGCAAGUGGAUUUCAAUAAACAUCGUCCACCAUAAACUUACGAACUGGAAAAAUUGUUGCAAGAAACUCAUUGACGGGGCUACACGCAGUUUGCAAUAGGAAUCUACAUGACACAACUCCACGGUUCUGCCACUGAUGAACAGCUUUUACGGAUGAUGGGCAGCGGAUGGGCUUCGGUGUUAAAGACCCAGUCUUCCAGGGAGAGGAGGUCAUCGUCAGAGAAAAGCAGGAAGAAGCUCUGCUGCAUGUUGUCGUGGCUGGCUGUCAGGGCGUAAACAUCACGGAUCCCAGAGAAACCUGAUUCCACUCUGCAGUGCUGCUCCAGAGCCUAACAGAAGGCAGGAAGGAACAGGCACAACGGAUUUCUCCCAUCUUUCCUAAAAACAUGCAUCAACAACAUUGAGGUAUUGUGCCAGAUAUUACUUCAUGUCCUCAGGCCUGCAUUUCAAGACACACGUCUUGAAGGUGAGUGCACCAGAUGGCAAAAUCCCAUUAACUGUCUUUCCCGAUGCGGAAGAUUGGCAACUCUAAUCUAAGGCAUCCUGUGCUCUUUACCUUAUCCCUAAUUAACAAUCCAGCCACAUUUCAGAAGGUGCUAAUUUUAGCUGUACUUGUUUAGGAUCUCAGUCCAUUUUACUAUCUAUAUUUUAUGACUAUAGAUAAUCUGAUACGCUGCUCUGCUGAGGUGUUAAGGAACCCCAGUUUGCUUUAAUUUUUUUGAGCACAUUUGAAUUGCUGGGUCUAGUGUCUUCCUCUUUUUUUUUUUUCCC
Molecule: long non-coding RNA, 930 nt
Organism: Gambusia affinis (western mosquitofish)
Lineage: Eukaryota; Metazoa; Chordata; Actinopteri; Cyprinodontiformes; Poeciliidae
Exons: 5
Source: RefSeq, a predicted model, not a curated record